CGCGGCCUAUCAGCUUGUUGGUGGGGCAGUGGCCUACCAAGGCGACGACGGGUAGCCGGCCUGAGAGGGUGACCGGCCACACUGGGACUGAGACACGGCCCAGACUCCUACGGGAGGCAGCAGUGGGGAAUACUGCGCAAUGGGCGAAAGCCUGACGCAGCGACGCCGCGUGGGGGAUGACGGCCUUCGGGUUGUAAACCUCUUUCAGUAGGGACGAAGCGCCAGUGACGGUACCUACAGAAGAAGCACCGGCCAACUACGUGCCAGCAGCCGCGGUAAUACGUAGGGUGCAAGCGUUGUCCGGAAUUAUUGGGCGUAAAGAGCUCGUAGGCGGUUUGUUGCGUCGGCUGUGAAAUCCCGAGGCUCAACCUCGGGUCUGCAGUCGAUACGAGCAAACUAGAGUGUUGCAGGGGAGACUGGAAUUCCUGGUGUAGCGGUGAAAUGCGCAGAUAUCAGGAGGAACACCGGUGGCGAAGGCGGGUCUCUGGGCAACAACUGACGCUGAGGAGCGAAAGCGUGGGGAGCGAACAGGAUUAGAUACCCUGGUAGUCCACGCCGUAAACGUUGGGCGCUAGGUGUGGGGCUCAUUCCACGAGUUCCGUGCCGCAGCUAACGCAUUAAGCGCCCCGCCUGGGGAGUACGG
RNAcentral lists this ribosomal RNA (643 nucleotides) under uncultured Actinomycetes bacterium. RNAcentral's name for it is "bacterial SSU rRNA". It matches the Rfam family "Bacterial small subunit ribosomal RNA", at positions 232 to 885 of the family's 1533-position model. The record is from RNAcentral. Lineage: Bacteria; Bacillati; Actinomycetota; Actinomycetes.